CGCGGCCUAUCAGCUUGUUGGUGGGGUAACGGCCCACCAAGGCUAUGACGGGUAGCUGGUCUGAGAGGACGAUCAGCCACACUGGGACUGAGACACGGCCCAGACUCCUACGGGAGGCAGCAGCAGGGAAUUUUGCACAAUGGGCGCAAGCCUGAUGCAGCGACGCCGCGUGGGGGAUGAAGACCUUCGGGUCGUAAACCCCUUUCAGGAGGGACGAAGCGAAAGUGACGGUACCUCCAGAAGAAGCCCCGGCCAACUACGUGCCAGCAGCCGCGGUAAUACGUAGGGGGCGAACGUUGUCCGGAUUUAUUGGGCGUAAAGAGCUCGUAGGCGGCUCAGCAAGUCGGCCGUGAAAGCCCGGGGCUCAACCCCGGGACGCCGGUCGAAACUGCUGUGGCUAGGGUCCGGUAGAGGAGAGUGGAACUCCCGGUGUAGCGGUGAAAUGCGCAGAUAUCGGGAGGAACACCAGUAGCGAAGGCGUCUCUCUGGGCCGGUACCGACGCUGAGGAGCGAAAGCUAGGGGAGCAAACAGGAUUAGAUACCCUGGUAAUCCUAGCCGUAAACGUUGGGCACUAGGUGUGGCGGACUCAUUGACGUCUGCCGUGCCGCAGCUAACGCAUUAAGUGCCCCGCCUGGGGAGUACGG
RNAcentral lists this ribosomal RNA (645 nucleotides) under uncultured Actinomycetes bacterium. RNAcentral describes it as "bacterial SSU rRNA". It matches the Rfam family "Bacterial small subunit ribosomal RNA", at positions 232 to 885 of the family's 1533-position model. The record is from RNAcentral. Lineage: Bacteria; Bacillati; Actinomycetota; Actinomycetes.